UGAUUAUUAUCCUUGUUAUGAUAAAGCAUGAUCAAUUGUUGAAUCCGAAUUCUUGAUAUGAACCAGUAUAUAUUUUGAAUUGAAUUCUGAAUUGAUAGCUCCUCAUUUGAUUGAUGUCAUGAGUUGAGCCUUGAGAUAUGAAUAUGUCUGUUUGAUUAUGAUUAUGAACCUAUGGUAUGUCAGUCAGAAUACCCAUGCUAACAGGGUAGUGUUAGUCUUUGUGCACAUCGUAUCUGAACCCUAGUUGGUCGGGGGAGUCACCAACCUGUGUGGACUGAUCAUCCCACAGUACGGAGCCUCAUGCUCAUUGCAUUUUGAUUUUCUGACGAACUUUACCAUUUGAUCUUCUUGUUAUGGCCUAUUUGAGAAACCUUUCUAUAAGAACCUAGAGCCAUACUUGUAUAUAUAUUUCUCAUUGUUUUAUUACCUCGUGUGUGUAUAUUGAACGUUAUCUACUCACUGAGUUGUUGAACUCACCAUCUCAUUAUUUAUCCUUUUCAGGCUUAUAGCUUGAUAGCAGGUCAUUUUGUUGGACCUUCAGAACCUGCUUUUUGGUUGUAAUUUGUACCUUCCUUUUAUGUCAAGUUAGUGCUCCAAAACUAUGAAUUAUAUUAACUCUUGUAUUAAGACAAUUCAAUUAUAUUAUGAAGUUGAUUUUGUUGUUAAUGCUGCGUUGAACUCUGAUUGAGUUAGGAUAAGUUUGUGUGUAAGUUUGGGUUCGCAUAGGUAUGGAACCUUGGAGGGGAACCUUGCCUAUGUGCCGGUCAUGGAUCCGGGAUUCGGGUCGUGACAAACUUGGUAUCAGAGCUUUAGGUUAAAGAAACAAUAAAAUAAUUAAAUUCGUAAUAAGUGGAGCAUUAGGAUCCGUGUUGUCUUGUUUGUUGCCUUUGAAAUUCCGAAUUCUCAUUAAGCAUGUCUUCUUCCUUGUGAUAGAUAUGUUUUCCUAUAAUUCUAUGAUAAUUAUCAUGCUAUUGUUCUAGCAUGACUUGAGUGCUCUCACUUUUAUUUUAGGAAAUGUCGAGGAAUAGACGAAUAGCUGAUACUGUUAGAGUAGAGGAUGAUCAGGAUGAUGUCCCUAUUGGGCGGUUGAGAACUGCAAGGCAGAGAAGGAGGCGCGGUGCACCCGUGCCUCAACAUGUUGAGGAGGUACCUCCACCAGUGGAGGAAGAGCCUCAGGAGAUAGAAGAGGAAGAUAUUGUUGAUGAAACAGGUGUGGGGGUAGCUGACCCUGAACCUGUUACAGAGUUUCAGCAACUUAGCCAGGUUGUGCGGACCUGGAUAGAGUUUUCUAUGGAGAGAGAUAGAAGGAGGGAUAGAGAUGUACCCUCGACAUCCCACACUGUUCAGGGAGUUAAUGUGCCGUUGAAUGACUUCAUGAAGUUGGCACCUCCUAUUUUUACUGGGAUGGAUAGUUCAGAGGAUCCUCAGAGGUUCUUAGAUGAUAUUUGGCGACGGUGUGAAGCUUUGGGAUGUACAGACCACCGAGCUGUGAGUUUGGCAUCGUUCAGGUUGGAAGGAGAUGUGGCAAUCUCUUGGUUUGAGUCUAGGAAAAGAGCAAGACCAGUAGAGGCUCAGUGGACAUGGAAGGAGUUUAGCUCCAUGUUCUUAGACAGGUUUCUCCCUCAGAGCGUCAGGGAUGCUCGACUUUAUGAGUUUGAGAGGCUAUCUCAGGGGAGCAUGACAGUGGAUGAGUAUGAUCUGAAGUUUACUCAGCUGUCUAGGUAUGCAGAGCAUCUUCUACCCACUGAGGAGUGGAGGGUGAAGAGGUUUAUUAGAGGACUCAAAUCCUCUAUGUAUAUGGUGAUGGUGUCACAGGUGUUUCCAUCAUACUCCUCAGCUGUUGAUAGCGCCAGGUUGAUAGAGGCGCGAGAAUUAGAGCCAGUCUAAGAGGCCUAGAGAAGAGGGUCAGUCUUUUAGGCAACAGGGAUUAAGUGCAGGUCCGUCUAGGGGACGAAGCGGCCGUCAGGGCUCAUGGGUUCAGAGGAGGUUUAGACAGAGACCGUCAGUUAGUGGCUCAGGCGGUCAGAGUGGCAGUAGUGGUACUCAGAGUUUAGUUCAAACUGCACCUCGUAGUUCAUUUAUUACACCUAGUGAUAGUUCUUCAUGUCAGCACUGUGGAGGAAGUCAUACUAGUGCAGAGUGCUACAGAAGGACCGGGGCUUGUUUUAGUUGUGGCCAGAUAGGUCAUAAGAUCAGAGAGUGCCCGAGGAGACAGUUGUCAGCUUCAGGGUUAUCUGCUUCAGUCCAACAUCCUAUUCAGGCACCAUCGACGAGCCAGUCUGUGGCUCAUGGGGGUAGAGGUUUUGGUGGCCGUGGUCAGAGAGGCCGGGGUGCAGGUGAUAGAGGUCAGAUACAGCAGGGUCAGGGGCAUGCUAGAGUUUUUGCCUUGACUCAGCAGGAUGCUCAGGCAUCCAACACAGUUGUUUCAGGUAUUCUUCCUGUUUGCUCUUUUGAAGCAAAAGUGUUGUUUGAUACGGGUGCAACCCAUUCAUUUAUGUCCCCAUAUUUUGCCAUGAGGUUAGAUAAACAACCAACCUUGUUAAAAUCCCCCAUUUCAGUCUCCACUCCCUUAGAUGAAUUAAUAUUAGUGAAGUAUGUGUAUCUGGAUUGUGAAAUAGAGAUUGGAGAUAAAAAUUUUAUGGGAGACUUAAAUGUCUUAGAUAUGGUUGAUUUUGAUGUGAUUUUGGGAAUGGAUUGGUUGGCAAAGCAUAGGGCUUCGGUAAAUUGUUGGGGUAAGAAAAUAAUAUUUGAUCUAGAUGAAGAAGUUGGGUUGGUAUUUCAAGGAGAUAAGAUUGGGUCUCCAUCAAUUAUGUUGUCGGCUAUCUCGAGGAAAAUGGCCAGAAAAGGGGUACAGUGCUACCUAGCAUAUAUAAUGGAUGUAGAGAAAGAAGUUUCCCAGUUAGACCAAGUCCCUAUAGUUAGGGAGUUUAUUGAUGUCUUUCCCGAUGACUUACCUGGAUUGCCUCCGUAUAGGGAGAUUGAGUUUUGUAUUGAUUUGGUUCCGGGUACCGAACCAAUAUCAAUGGCACCAUAUAGAAUGGCGCCAGCAGAAUUGAGGGAGCUAAAGGAGCAACUGCAGGAUUUGUUAGAUAAAAAGUUCAUCCGACCAAGUGUGUCCCCUUGGGGAGCCCCAGUGUUGUUUGUGAAGAAGAAAGAUGGGUCAUUGAGGUUGUGUAUAGAUUAUAGGCAACUGAAUCGGGUGACUGUUCGAAAUAGAUACCCACUCCCUCGCAUUGAUGAUUUGUUUGACCAGUUGCAGGGAGCUCAAUUCUUUUCUAAGAUCGAUCUUCGAUCUGGGUAUCAUCAGUUGAGGAUUAGGGAGUCAGACAUUUUGAAGACAGCUUUUAGAACUCGGUAUGGUCAUUAUGAGUUCUUAGUGAUGUCUUUUGGGUUGACGAAUGCACCAGCAGCUUUUAUGGAUUUGAUGAAUAGAGUGUUUGGCCAGUUUAUUGAUCAAUUUGUGAUAGUUUUUAUUGAUGAUAUUUUGGUGUAUUCGAGGUCUAGAGAGGAGCAUGAGCAGCACUUGAGAAUGGUGCUUCAAACUCUGCGAGACCAUCAGCUGUAUGGCAAGUUCUCAAAGAGUGAGUUUUGGUUGGAGAGUGUAGCAUUUCUUGGGCAUGUAGUGUCAAGGAAUGGGAUUGAGGUUGAUCCUCAAAAGAUUGAAGCAGUUAAGCAGUGGCUUAGGCCUACUUCGGCGACAGAGAUUAGAAGUUUCUUAGGUUUGGCCGGCUAUUAUCGGAGGUUUGUGGAGAACUUUUCUCGGAUUUCUGCACCAUUGACUAAGUUAACGCAGAAAAAUGUUAAGUUUCAGUGGUCUGAAGCUUGUGAGAAAAGUUUCUUGGAGUUGAAAGAGAGAUUGACUACAGCGCCUGUUCUAGCAGUACCAUCAGGUUCUGGUGGUUACACAGUGUAUUGUGAUGCUUCGAGAGUGGGGUUAGGAUGUGUUCUAAUGCAGCAUGGCAAGGUUAUUGCCUAUGCUUCACGGCAGCUGAAGAAGCAUGAACAGAACUAUCCUACACAUGAUUUAGAGAUGACGGCUGUAAUUUUUGCCUUGAAGAUUUGGAGGCACUACUUGUAUGGUGAAACUUGUGAGAUCUUCACAGAUCACAAGAGUUUGAAAUACAUCUUUCAGCAGAGGGAUCUAAACCUGAGGCAGAGGAGAUGGAUGGAAUUGCUGAAGGAUUAUGAUUGUACCAUACAUUACCACCCGGGUAAGGCAAAUGUAGUUGCCGAUGCUUUGAGUAGAAAAUCAUCAGGGAGCUUAGCUCAUAUUCAGGAGGUACGAAGACCUCUGAUUAGAGAGCUGCAUGAGUUGGUGGAUGAAGGAGUCAGAUUUGAUCUUAGUGAAGCUGGAGCAAUGAUUGCUCAUUUUCAGGUUAAGUCAGAUUUGUUUGAUAAGAUAAAAGCAGCUCAGAAGAAAGAUGAUUCACUACUCAGGAUUAGAAAUGAGGUUGAGCAGGGUAAGGCUGCAGGUUUUGUGAUAGGUGAUGAUGAUGUGCUGAGAUAUAAGGAUAGGCUUUGUGUACCUGAUGUAGAUGAUCUGAGGAGAGAAUUGAUGGUAGAGGCACAUCAGACAGUUUACACAGUGCAUCCAGGUUCCACCAAGAUGUAUAAAGACCUUAAGGUGUGUUAUUGGUGGAAUAGGAUGAAGGCUGAUGUAGCAGACUUUGUUUCUAGGUGUUUGACCUGUCAGAGGGUAAAGGGUGAACACCAGAAACCUCCUGGAUUGUUGCAACCAUUGUUGAUUCCAGAAUGGAAGUGGGAAAGGAUCACAAUGGACUUUGUGACAGGAUUGCCUAGGAGUCAGGAGGGUUAUGAUUCAAUAUGGGUGAUUGUUGACAGGUUGACAAAAUCAGCCCAUUUUCUGCCAGUUAGGAUUACUUAUGGAUAUGCAAAGUUGGCAGAAUUAUUUAUUAGUGAGAUUGUACGGUUGCAUGGAGUGCCAAUCUCGAUAGUGUCUGAUAGAGGUCCACAGUUUACAUCGCGGUUUUGGGUGAAAUUCCAAGAAGCUAUGGGUACUAAAGUGCAGUUGAGUACAGCUUUUCACCCUCAGACAGAUGGUCAAUCUGAGAGGACUAUUCAGAUCUUGGAGGAUAUGCUAAGGGCUUGUGUCAUGGAUUUUGGAGUUGGUUGGAGUAAGUUCCUACCAUUAGUGGAAUUUGCUUACAACAACAGUUAUCAGACUAGCAUAGAGAUGGCACCUUAUGAGGCUUUGUAUGGUCGGAAGUGUAGAUCACCGGUUUGUUGGUUUGAGGUUGGUGAGAAGAGGCUAAUGGGACCAGAGUUGAUUCAGAUUACCUCAGAGAAGAUAGAGGUAAUUAGAAAUAAGCUUCAAACAGCUCAGAGCAGACAAAAGAGUUACGCAGAUAAAAGAAGGCGUGACUUAGAGUUUUCAGUGGGUGACUGUGUGUUCUUAAAAGUAUCACCGACAAAAGGAGUAUUCAGGUUUGGGAAGAAAGGCAAGUUGAGUCCUCGGUUCAUUGGACCGUAUGAGAUUCUGGAGAGAGUUGGGGCAGUUGCUUAUAGGUUAGCAUUACCACCAAACUUGUCCGCUAUUCAUCCGGUAUUUCAUGUUUCAAUGCUAAGAAAGUAUAUGUCAGAUCCAUCGCAUGUAUUAGAGGUUUAUCCCAUUGAAUUGAGGGAUGAUAUGGUUUAUGAGGUGCAAACAGAAGCUAUAGUCGACCAACAAGUGAGGAAGCUUAGGUCAAAGGAUAUAGCUUCAGUAAAAGUGAAAUGGAAAGGUCAUUCACGUGAGGAAGCGACAUGGGAGCUCGAGGAUAAGAUGCGUGAGGAGUACCCUCAUCUUUUCGAUAAUCUCGGUAAGUAUUCAAUCUUUUCUAUUAAGUUUCGAGGACGAAACUUUUAUAAGGUGGGGAGAUUGUAAUGUUUUGAAUAUAAAGAGUUAGGAAAAUACAACAAAGCCCUUGGUGGCUUAAAGAGUGGGUAUAAUUAAAUGAGGGGUAUUGUAGUAAUUGUAUAAAGAGAUGAUAUAUAUAAAUAGGAAGUAAAAAAAUGAAAAAAAAAAGAGAAGAGGGAUCUGAAAAAUUGAAAGAGUAAACCGUGAGAGAGAAAGGAGAAAGAAGAAGAAGAAGAGAAAAGAGGGAAAUUAGAAAGGAAAUAGAAAGGAGUUGGAGGAAAUAAGUAAAAAGGUAAGAUUAUGUAUAAAUAUAUGUUAAUUAAGCUUUAAUUUCGAUUUUGAUAAAUGUUAGGGUUAUGAAAUUUGUGUUUUGGGUUUGAUUGAUGAGUUAAUUUGAAUGUUAUAGAGUUAAUUGUUAUGGGUAUUUGAUUAUUUGGAUGAUUUUGAGAGAUUGAAUUGAAAGAUGAUGAUUUUGAGUUAUGAUUUUGUUUGAAUGGUGAAAUUGUGUUAGGAAUUUGGAGAGAACAGUAGGUUUCUGUUAAAAAUUCUGGGUUGGAGGUUGAAGAUGACAAAAUUUCGGUUUGGUCCCUCAAUUUUGGAAAAUUACAGUUUAGUCCCCAAACUUUGGAAAAUUUGCAGAUUGGUCCCUGGAGCAUAUUCCGAGAUUCUGAACAGAAUAACAUAUGAAUUAUGGACAGAAUUACUGUAUAGAUAAGAGAAUUUAACACUUUCAAUUUAGUCCUUCAAUUUGACAAAAAUUACAAUUUAACCCUAAAAAUUUGGUAAAAUUCCAGAAUGGUCCUUGGAGUAUAAUGAGAUGAUCUGGACAGAAAUGAGGACUAAUUAUGGUCAGAAUUUCAGUAUAUUCAUGGAUUUAUGAUAAAUUUCAGUUUGGUCCUCCAAUUGGACAAAAAUUGCAAUUUGACCCUUAAAAUAGGAUAAAUUACAGAUUGGUCCCUAGCUGUAAUAUUAGCCUUUUCAGAUUAGUUUGAUGAAUAAUUAAGGGUUAUUUAGUGAAUUAUUGCCAAUUUUAUUAGUUAAGUUUAUUAAAUAGGUUAAAUGUUCUUUUGAGUCGUUCUUGAAUAUGUCUCCUUUGUAUUCAGAUAAUCCUGAUAUUCUACCGACAGGACGUCAGUAGGAUUUUCUUCGGUGUCUGCUUUUGGCUUCUGUUUGCUUUUGAGUCAGGUGAGUGGAUAAUUUUCCAUAUGCAUGAGAAAUAGUAUAAAUAUUUGAUUUGUUAUUAUGAAUUGAAUCAUGCUUCUUGAUAAUAUAUAUGUUGAUUAUUAUCCUUGUUAUGAUAAAGCAUGAUCAAUUGUUGAAUCCGAAUUCUUGAUAUGAACCAGUAUAUAUUUUGAAUUGAAUUCUGAAUUGAUAGCUCCUCAUUUGAUUGAUGUCAUGAGUUGAGCCUUGAGAUAUGAAUAUGUCUGUUUGAUUAUGAUUAUGAACCUAUGGUAUGUCAGUCAGAAUACCCAUGCUAACAGGGUAGUGUUAGUCUUUGUGCACAUCGUAUCUGAACCCUAGUUGGUCGGGGGAGUCACCAACCUGUGUGGACUGAUCAUCCCACAGUACGGAGCCUCAUGCUCAUUGCAUUUUGAUUUUCUGACGAACUUUACCAUUUGAUCUUCUUGUUAUGGCCUAUUUGAGAAACCUUUCUAUAAGAACCUAGAGCCAUACUUGUAUAUAUAUUUCUCAUUGUUUUAUUACCUCGUGUGUGUAUAUUGAACGUUAUCUACUCACUGAGUUGUUGAACUCACCAUCUCAUUAUUUAUCCUUUUCAGGCUUAUAGCUUGAUAGCAGGUCAUUUUGUUGGACCUUCAGAACCUGCUUUUUGGUUGUAAUUUGUACCUUCCUUUUAUGUCAAGUUAGUGCUCCAAAACUAUGAAUUAUAUUAACUCUUGUAUUAAGACAAUUCAAUUAUAUUAUGAAGUUGAUUUUGUUGUUAAUGCUGCGUUGAACUCUGAUUGAGUUAGGAUAAG
This 7833-nucleotide long non-coding RNA is filed under the name Populus trichocarpa (black cottonwood). RNAcentral describes it as "long non-coding RNA (PTRI_LNC004484)". The record is from RNAcentral. Lineage: Eukaryota; Viridiplantae; Streptophyta; Magnoliopsida; Malpighiales; Salicaceae.